AUACGUAGGGGGCAAGCGUUGUCCGGAAUUAUUGGGCGUAAAGCGCGCGCAGGCGGUCUCUUAAGUCUGAUGUGAAAUCUCGCGGCUCAACCGCGAGCGGUCAUUGGAAACUGGGGGACUUGAGUGUAGGAGAGGAAAGUGGAAUUCCACGUGUAGCGGUGAAAUGCGUAGAGAUGUGGAGGAACACCAGUGGCGAAGGCGACUUUCUGGCCUAUAACUGACGCUGAGGCGCGAAAGCGUUGGGAGCAAACAGGAUUAGAUACCCUGGUAGUCCACGCCGUAAACGAUGAGUGCUAGGUGUUAGGGGUUUCGAUACCCUUAGUGCCGGCGUUAACACAUUAAGCACUCCGCCUGGGGAGUACGGCCGCAAGGCUGAA
RNAcentral lists this ribosomal RNA (377 nucleotides) under uncultured bacterium. RNAcentral describes it as "bacterial SSU rRNA". It matches the Rfam family "Bacterial small subunit ribosomal RNA", at positions 523 to 898 of the family's 1533-position model. The record is from RNAcentral.